GUGAGGCAUCUCCUUCAAGCAAGCACUGAGCCUCCUGAGGCUUCAGCUCCCUGGGGUGGGGCAUCUUACAUGGCUGCUGUGUGCUCAUAUCUCACCUCCACAUGCAGCCCUCAGGCCGGAUGGUGUUUCCGGUAGUAGGAAAACCCCCUUACAGAAGUGAACCAGUGACUUAAUGUCAACUUCUUUCCAGAGAGGCAAAAAUAGAGAAAACAUCUUCCAUAUGAAAUUCUUCCCAAGGGAGAAGGUAUGCAGAGGAAAAGCAGAGGCCUUCCUCUCCCCAAGGUAACCGCCGCCAAAAAUUGGUGAACCUGGACACAUGUGUACCGGCCUCUUUGUCCACAUGCUGGUGUUUGUUGGAUGUCCAAACUACAGAAAGCCUGCAUGCCGAGUGGAACGAGCAAGGUCUUAGGAGCAGGCAGGCUGAACUCCAAUCCCAGCUGGCUGGUGCUUUUCGAUUAGCUCACCCAGUUCAGGCCAACAUUUUGUCAGCUGUAAAGUAGAGAUAAUAGUAAUCUUGCUGGGUUGGUAUGAAAUUAGAAACGUCUAUCAAAUACUGAGCACAGUGUAUGGGGUAGAUUCUCAAUAAGUAAUAAUUUUUAUUGUUAAUAUUAACCUGGUAAUAUUAUUUGCUAUCCCCACAUUUCACAAUCCUCUUUGCACUUGUAUUUCCA
Long non-coding RNA from Hipposideros armiger (great roundleaf bat), 671 nucleotides. RefSeq lists it as uncharacterized. The transcript is spliced from 3 exons. The record is from RefSeq and is a predicted model, not a curated record. NCBI's taxonomy places the organism in Eukaryota, Metazoa, Chordata, Mammalia, Chiroptera, Hipposideridae.